This 202-nucleotide ribosomal RNA is filed under the name uncultured bacterium. RNAcentral's name for it is "partial 16S ribosomal RNA". It matches the Rfam family "Bacterial small subunit ribosomal RNA", at positions 1301 to 1500 of the family's 1533-position model. The record is from RNAcentral.
UAGUCUGCAACUCGACUACAUGAAGCUGGAAUCGCUAGUAAUCGCGAAUCAGAAUGUCGCGGUGAAUACGUUCCCGGGUCUUGUACACACCGCCCGUCACACCAUGGGAGUUGGCAACGCCCGAAGUCAGUGACCCAGCCUUAACAGGAGGGAGCUGCCGAAGGCGGGGCUGAUAACUGGGGUGAAGUCGUAACAAGGUAAC